AUUGAACGCUGGCGGCAUGCCUUACACAUGCAAGUCGAACGGCAGCACGGGGGCAACCCUGGUGGCGAGUGGCGAACGGGUGAGUAAUACAUCGGAACGUGCCCAGUCGUGGGGGAUAACGUAGCGAAAGUUACGCUAAUACCGCAUACGAUCUACGGAUGAAAGCGGGGGACCGUAAGGCCUCGCGCGAUUGGAGCGGCCGAUGUCAGAUUAGGUAGUUGGUGAGGUAAAGGCUCACCAAGCCGACGAUCUGUAGCUGGUCUGAGAGGACGACCAGCCACACUGGGACUGAGACACGGCCCAGACUCCUACGGGAGGCAGCAGUGGGGAAUUUUGGACAAUGGGCGCAAGCCUGAUUCAGCCAUUCCGCGUGCAGGACGAAGGCCUUCGGGUUGUAAACUGCUUUUGUACGGAACGAAAAGGCUCUGGUUAAUACCUGGGGCUCAUGACGGUACCGUAAGAAUAAGCACCGGCUAACUACGUGCCAGCCGCCGCCGUAA
This 500-nucleotide ribosomal RNA is filed under the name uncultured bacterium. RNAcentral's name for it is "partial 16S ribosomal RNA". It matches the Rfam family "Bacterial small subunit ribosomal RNA", at positions 30 to 523 of the family's 1533-position model. The record is from RNAcentral.